AGUGGGAUAACUGGGUCAAAUGGUGGUUCCAUUCAUUCUAAGUUUUCUGAGGAAUCUCCAUACUGCUUUCCAGAGUGGUUGCACCAAUUUGCAGUCCCACCAGCAAU
Molecule: microRNA precursor, 107 nt
Filed under: Marmota monax (woodchuck)
Lineage: Eukaryota; Metazoa; Chordata; Mammalia; Rodentia; Sciuridae
Source: RNAcentral